UACGGGGGGGGCAAGCGUUGUUCGGAAUUACUGGGCGUAAAGGGCGCGUAGGCGGCCUUCUAAGUCGGACGUGAAAUCCCUCGGCUUAACCGAGGAACUGCGUCCGAGACUGAAAGGCUUGAAUCCGGGAGAGGGAUGUGGAAUUCCAGGUGUAGCGGUGAAAUGCGUAGAUAUCUGGAGGAACACCGGUGGCGAAGGCGGCAUCCUGGACCGGCAUUGACACUGAGGCGCGAAAGCUAGGGGAGCAAACGGG
This 253-nucleotide ribosomal RNA is filed under the name uncultured bacterium. RNAcentral describes it as "partial 16S ribosomal RNA". It matches the Rfam family "Bacterial small subunit ribosomal RNA", at positions 524 to 776 of the family's 1533-position model. The record is from RNAcentral.